CAAUGUGUCAUACAACAACCUUUCUGGAACACCACCUAGCACAAGACAAUUUGCAAACUUUGAUGAGUACAACUACAGAGGUAAUCCCGGUCUUUGCGGACAACUCCUAAAUCAAAAGUGUGAACGUGUCGAGUCUUCACCUUCAUCACAAUCCAAUGACAAUGGAGAAAAGCAAACCAUGGUGGACAUGAUAACAUUUUAUUGGAGUUUCAUAACAUCUUAUAUUACAAUACUAUUGGCCUUCAUAACUGUGUUGGGCAUCAAUCCACGUUGGCGUAUGGCCUGGUUUUAUUACAUCAGUAAGUUUAUGCGUAGAUUCUUUCCAUCUUUUCCAUUAUAUUGAUGAGUGUCCAUAGUUCCUGUUGAAACUUUAUGUGGAGUCUAAAAUAUUUGGAUACUGUAUUUUUUAUAUUUACCGUUAAUUCCAGACAGUUUGAGACAUUGGCUUUUAAGCUCCUCUUGUCAACUUUAUGUUCAUCAUGUUGUUUGUGUGAUGUACUUAUCUGGAGAACUUUGAAGAUAUUGUGAUAUAUUAUUUUUGAAGAUCCAAGAGUUCCUCAAAUAGCUCUGAGACCUGUUUCAAAGAUCCAUCAAAUGACGUUCUGCAGCCAUUGACCCGGCAGCAGCCAUUGAUUCUGUGACAGGCCCUAUGCUAGAGUAUUAUUGAAAAGACGAAAAGAAAACGAGCAAAAACUGUUUUUUACUCGAGAGCAUGCUCUGUCGAUGGAAUCAUUCCCUUCUAGAGAGCCUUGUGUACAAUACUAACUCCAAUGCCAUUAAUAUUUGCCUUUAGUUUUCUUUUGUCAAUAAUAAUUCUUCAAGCACCAAAUCGGUCCAUGUCUAAGCCACUCAAAUUAAUCACUAACUCUAUUAAUAUUUCAAAUUAUUCAUUUUUUUUAUCAAAAGUUUCUGAACCAGAUCCUUCGACAUGUGACAAAAACAUAAAGAAAAGGUUCUAAUUGACAAACUUUUGACUAAGUGCUUUUGUAAGUAAUUCAUUAUGAGACCCUACGUUUUACAGUUGCUUUCAUAAUGUUAUUGUUUUUUCAUUGAAAGGUUUAGCUCUCGUAUUAACACUUUAGUUGUUUUCUAUAAAAGUAACUUCUUAUAUUUUUCAAAUAACUGGAAUGUCAAUGUAGGUUGAAUCUGGGUGCAGAACUAUGACAGAAGCGAUAUUACGAGUAGAUUUACACAUUUGUCUUAAAAUGACCGAAAUUAAUAAAUAGGUAAGAGUAUAAUAGAAAAAUUAGCAUUAAUGUUUUAUUGUUACUGUAAAACAAUUAUUUUUUUAUUUGUCCUCGUGAGUUUAACUCAGUUGGUAUAGAUAAUGUAUAAUAUAUGUAAGGUCCAGGUUCAAAUCCCAGCCAAAAAAAAAAAAAAAAACAAUUUCUUUUUUCUUUCCUGAAUUAUAAUUUGAGAUGGAGAGAGUAUUAAUUAAACUAGUAAUGUUAACAUACGUAUUUAAUCUUGCAAGAUAACAUUAGCAUCUUUGUCAAAUAUCAUCAUCUCUAGUCAACUCCAAGUCUUUCCUGAGGUUCCAGGAAGUUUCUUGCAAUUAAAAAGUCCCAUCUUUUUUUUUUUAGCAAAGACAAAAUUAAUGCAUUUCAUUCAAAAACAAAAAGUAACAAAGUUGAAGGUACACUAUAAAAAAGAUGGGGGCUAAGAUGAGAUAAGGAAGCUCUAGCUAUACUAUGAGCAACCCUAUUAGCUUGUCUCCUAAUAUACGACACUUUAAAGUCGGUAUUUGUAAACAAGAGACCUCUACAUUGAGAAAUAAUGUCUCCAACUUCAUUGAGGUGAGCGGAGGUAGUGUGAAUGGCAUCAGCAAGGGUCAUACAAUCUGUUUCAAAGCGGACAGUUUGAAAUCCCAAAGAGAUUGCCAAUUUUAUCGCCUCCGACAAUGCAGUAGCUUCAGCUUCUAAAACAGUCAUCGAGGAUGGAAAAAAUGCAGAUUUUGCAAUUAAGAGUUUCCCCUCCGAAUUUUGAAAACAGAUUUCAUAUCCAACAAUUGAUUAUGGUGGAAAAUUGCUGCGUCAACGUUGCAUUUUAUCACACCGGAAGGCGGUUUAACCCAAGAGAUGAUGUGGUUUGAAUUUUGAACCUGUAGUUUAGCUCUUUACAUACAAGUCCAUUCGUGGAGUGUAUCCUUUGCUCGAGUAAUAACAACAGUGGCUGGUGUAUUGGAAGACUCCCAAAGUCCCAUCUUUUAGUAUAAGGUGAAUACAGGAAUUUGGGGCAAGACCGAAAAGUCCCAAUAUAAUUGAUUCUUGCAGGAAAGAAAGACACUUACAAAACUAAAUGAUAUUCACCGUCAAUUUACAGAUUUUUUACACUCGCAAUUGUCAUAUCAUUAAAACCAUUUAACUUCAUUGAUAACUACUUCUAAAAUUACAUAAAUAUGAUUUGAUUGUGAUUUGUUAAUAAUAUAAUAUUUUUAAAUUGACAGUGUAUAUAAAAAAUUAACUAUGGCUACAUCAAGGUUUAUUAUAUCAUAGUUUAAAAAGUGAAUACUUUUUCCUCUCCUCACUGAUUCCAUUUUUUUUCUUCCGAUGUAAGCAUGAAUCGAAAGUUUUCAGUUUGAAGAGAAUAAGAAUUUUGGGGAGUUCUCUGAUUUUCCUUACCCUGUUAGCUCAAUUUCACUGACUUAGAACAUAGAAGAGGAAUGGAAAAUUCAAAUACAAAAUCUAGGCAAUGGCCAGCAUUUUAAGUAUAAUAGAUGGGGAAAAAAAGUAUUUAGAAGGAAAUAAUUAAGAUUUAUUGAUAUUGAAAAAAAAAAUAAGAUUUAUUGAUAUUGUAAAAUGAUAUGUAAAAUGAUAUAUAUAGUUUCUAAACUAAUUCAUAUAGUUACUAUUAUAGUAUUUUUGAAUCCUCAUGAGGACAUUAUUGUUCUUCCUAUCAAUCAAGUUAAGAAAUUAAUUCAUAUUGUUUAAACUCAACACCCUCGAGACUAGGGUUUCUAGUGUCAUAAAGAAUUGACUGAAAAGAGAAAUUUUAUUUGGUUUAAUCGAAAGACUCUAUUAGGACAGUCAUGAUACUAAUUUGCUUAUUAUAACUUUGUAGCUACAUAAGAUGGAUGACAAUACAGUGUUUCUUAAUGACAACAUUAAUGAUACAAUAUGGUGCAACUGAAGAAAACUUUCGUGUCAAUUGAUAUAAAAGUAGAUGAUUUGCAAAAUCAUGUAAUCCACUUAUGAGUUAAGAAAUUUGUCUCUUUAGUGUUACCAUAAAUUUUGAUAAAGUAAUUGUCUCAUUUGGUUUUGAGAUAAUAUUAUGAAGAAUUGUGGAUUUAGUAAGCUCAGUGGGGGUAAACUUAUAUUUCUAGUUUAAUGUGCCGGUUUUAUUUUAUUUAGUCAACUAUGAUAUAUGUUCGUUGUGUGAAACCAAGAAAUCUCUAACAAAAGUUUGGUGAUGAAAGAUCUUAGGGACACCUCUUUUGUUUAAGCAUUUUUGAUACUUAGAGAUACUUCUCAAGGUAUCCUUCAGAUGAUGUCACAAAAGAAUUAUAUCAAUAAAGUUGAAAAUGAAAUGACAUAAUUUUUUGGAUGAUCUCAAUCACCGAGAGAGACUUUUCAGUCUCAAAUAUUGCCCAAUUAAAAAAUUUAUGAAUUCAUAAAUUUAAGUAUUUUCCUACAUUUUACCUAUAGGAUUUUUAUGUAUGAUUUUAUUAUACACAUUUGGAAAUAGCGUAUUUAAUGAGAUUGAAAUAUGAGAGGGGAAAGGAAAAGGUUAGAAGAUGUAGGGUAAAACUGAUUCUCAUUGAUUAACUACAUUGAUACAUGGCAUAUAUAGAGUCGUAUGAAAAGUUAGUUGAUAACAAACUAGCUUACUUGCCAAACAAGUAAGUCCAUAACUAACUAACAGACUAAUGAGAAUAAAACAAUGUUAUAUACCUAACAAUCACUCCCCUUGUUUGAAAAAUACUUCUAGCUUCAAAGGUUUAGUCUUGAUGUCUGCUGGUUGAUUAAUGUUUGAACUAUAAUAAGCAAAUUCCAUAACUCCUUCUUUUGUUAAGACCCUACGAAAAUAUAUGUGAUAUCUAUGUGCUUACAUCUUCCAUGCAUUGAAAGAUUCUUUGACAAUUUUCCUGAUGAAUAUAUGUACUACAGAUCAGGGCUGGCCAUGGACCUGUGCAAACAGUGCUACGACACAGGACUUCAAAGUUUUGAGGGCCUAAAUUUUAAAGGUCAAAAUUAUGAGUUAUGAUCUUCUUCAUUUUCCUUAUUUAUUACUAUAGCUUUGAAGAUUUUUAAAGUAUAUAUUAAAUAAUAGAAAAUGUUACGAAUGUCCACGAAAUAUUCUUUAAAGUCUUUAAAUUUGUGUAUUCAAUUAUGGUUUGAAAUUAAAGUAUUUUAUUUUCUAAGGAAUAAUUUCUUAAUUUGAUAUUCUUAAUGAGGACCUCGGAGACACUCGUUGGUCGUUAGUAGAACCUUUAAAUAAUUAAGGGCAAAUUACACUCACCUCUCUUGAGGUCUCUUUAAACAACACAUAUACCCCCUCUAGUUUUCAAAAACACUCACCUCCCCUCUAAACUAACUCUGCUAGCCUAAAAUGUUGAUUCUUAACAACCCUGAUUCAUUCCAUUACAGAAAAACUCCACUACAAUGAAAUCUUUAUCUACCGUGUAAAUUUAUAGGUUCGUCACCGGUAUUCAUACAUUCCACCGCUAUGGGCAACUCCAAAUCAAUUUCACCAUUCUCUAAACAAUUCUUAAAAGUAUAUCACUUUUAAAAAAGCGUACCGCACUAGCUAGAUGUACAUAGAAAGCAAGAACCAAUUUUUGACUUCAAGCAGGGCCCAAGUAAAAAGCAAAGCAUUGAAAUCAUUGCAAGAGCAGAAACGACCCUGCCAACAAUCAAGAUUUAAAAAUAAUUGCUGUUUUCUUUAGUGAUUAGUUACAUAAUGGAGUGUAGAAUGGUUACAAUAACAUAGAUUUUCAAAUCACUUAGAAUUUUAUAAUAUAGUUUAGGCACGGUCAUCACAUACCUAAUUAGUGAUUUAAAUUUGAUUUUUUAUAGUGAAAGAAUCUAUGUUUCUUAUGAUUUAUAAUUUUUUAACGAGUAAACAACAAUUUUGUUAUCUGAAUAUGUGACAAAUUAUCACCAUAGUCUUUGAUGUAUCGAAAUUACAAAUGCAUCUUCAAGUGUAUCUUUAAUUAAUCAUUAUCAUCUUCAAACAUAUUUCGUCGUUUAUCAUUUUAGUCCUUAAAAUGUAUCUUUAGUGAUGAUUUAUUAAUAUUAUAAAAUGUGAAAUAACUGGUACAAACUUUUUUACAUCUCAAUCAACCAACAAAUCCGUCCAAAAGUUAGAAUCUCUUCCAUCUCUUAUGACCUUUCUUAAAUUUCCCUCAAAUCACCCCGGUAAUGAUGAUAUAGACCUUAAAUCCCUCCACCAAACUGAACCAAUGUUUCUUACCAAAUUCAAACUAUCAUCAUAUUUGGCGUUUGUCUUUUAGCCCUAUUUUCUAAACAAACAAACAAACAUAAAUAAGUUGUAAAAAAGAGAGAAUUGAACUUAAAAUCUUAAGAUGAGUGUACUUUAUGAUCUCAAAUCAAUACCACGAGACACACUCAAAUGAGUUUCCACUUUCUAUUUCUCAUUGUUUCUAAUCUAUCCAUCCAUGAAGCACAAUACUCCUCGGGUUAAGGGUGUGUCCCGGUGUGAAAUAUGUAUCGUGUCCCACACCAACACCGACACCGACACAUAUCUCCGUGUCGUAACUGCAUCUGAGUUUGUGCUUCACAUCCUUCCAUCAACAUCAAUUCUAAGAGUAUUUUACAGAUCCACAUCCUAUGCAAGAAAUCACCCUUUCAUUGACCUUGCGAGUGUAUAUCCCCUCAAUUCUAUCCCAAAGCUUUAAAACAAUCAAGGAGCUCAAUUAUGCUUUGAGAAGACACUAACUAAUAGUAACUAAGGUCAUGGAAAUGGGAAGUGAAGUCAUUGAAACUCAACAAGACAUCAUUAAGUUGCUCCCACAAUGAAAUUGGAUCAAAUUCAAAACAAUCUCCAUCAUGAUCGUAAUAUGGAAUUAAGGAUGUGAUUUUGUGAUACAAUUUUUUUUGUUUCUUUCUUCAAAUUUACAGUAACUCUUUACAACUAUUACACACAUAUUUAAUAAAAUUUUACAAGCUUGUUGAAUUUCAAAAUUCAGUUUUAAGAUGAAAAUCAUACCCAUGAUAUCAAUAAAACUUCACUCCAAUUCAAAAUUAACUCGAUAUAUACACUUUUGAAAUAUAUAAAAAAUAAAUAAAAACAUCUUAUUGUAAACUUAUUUUUGAUUAAAUCUUAUAAGAUUUUAACAUAAAAAAUCAAUGUAAAUAGUUAUUCUAAAAAUAUCAUAUUAUAUCUAAAAUUUAUACUAUAUAUAAAGAAAACUACCCCUUUCAGCAUUUUAGGGUUGUAUUUUUUCUUCCAAAAAUACCCUAAAUUUUCAAAUACAAAUAACACAUGUAACAAACAAAUAGAUAAAAAUAAAUUUAAUAUUAAAACAAAUAUAACAAACACGAUAUGAAUAUAUAUAUAUCUUUGGUUUUUUUUCUUUUUCAUUUAAUAAGUGUAACAAACUAGAUGAGGAUAUUUAUACUUACUUUUACAUUAUUUCAAUUAAAUCCUCAAACAACUUUUUCUAUAAUAAAUAUUGUUAUUGGUUUCAUUAAAAUAAAAGAAUUUUAGAUUAUAUUUUUUUUGUUAUAUUGUUGGUGUAAUUGAAAUAGAUAAUCAUGGUUAGAUUGCUUUGUUAUAACUUGAAAAUAACAAACAUUUAUAUUUUUAAUUUUAAUCAAAAUAAAAUUUCAUAAAAAACAUCGUUCAUAAUUUUCAAAUGUUAGCGCAAUAAAAAGAGCGGAAAGACAGACAGGUGAGUGCCCGUCUUUUCGCUAGUCAUCAAUAAUGUAAGUGUACUGAAGUUUUAUCCAUUCUCAAGUUAUAUCACUGCCACAAAUUGUUCUAAACAAUUGUUUCAUUUAAUUAAGAAAUGUUAAAUAAGUCCCUUAAUAAAAAAUGAGAAUAUUUAACUGAAAAUUGAUUGGCGGUUUCACUCGCUAUCGGCAUUUGGUGGAACACCUUAAUCUUACUUAUCGGUAGACCUUUCCGUGGUCCAAUUCUUAAUUAAAGUAUCGAUUAUUAGGACUUAAGUCCAUGAGAAGAGCCUCAUGGUUUAAAUGACGCAUCAAGCACUUUGGUCUACUUGAUUUGGGACUCCUAACAUAUUCUUUGCAGCUAUAACAACGUUUCUUCGCAGCUUGAUAAGAUUUUGUGGCGGUAGUUUACGUGAUUUUUUUCUUCGAUAUAUUAAAACGGAAAACAAAGGUAUCAGACACUACCUAUACCUCUUUGCCAUAUCCAUUUUUAUGAUUACUGAUUGUAUUUUUAGAACCUUGGCAACUACUACCUCUGUCGUAAAUUAUAAGUUGUUUUGGUCAUUUCACACGUAUUAAAAAUUGAAAUUAAUUUGUAUAUGAAAGAGAUAUUAUGAGUUGCUUUACACAAUUAUCUUAAUAAAUAGUAUCAGAAAAAUAAAUUAAAGAAUUGAAAUGAGUAAUAUUAAUAAAUAGUUAAGAGUAUAAUAGAAAAAUUAUUACUAAUGUUUUUAUUGUUAUUGUAAAACAAUUUAUAAUUUGAGACAACUUUUUUUCCAUACUUAUAAUUUGAGACAGAGAGAGUAUUAAACUAAUAAUGUUCACAUACGUAUUUAGUCUUGCAAGAUAACAUUAGCAUUUGUCAUAUGUAAUCUUCUCUAGUCAACUUCAAAUCUUUCUUGUGCUUCGAGGAAAUUUUUUGCAAUUGAAAAGUCCCAUCUUUUAGUAUAAUAAUAUAAAGUGAAUACAGGAAUUUGGGGCAAGACUGAAAAGUCCCAAUAUAAUGAUUCUUGCUUGAAAAAAAAGACACUUACAAAACUGAAUGAUAUGUUAUCAUAUUUUUCGGGUAACAUCUUGCAAUUUUUACGAGUUUAAUUUAUAUGUGCCAUCAAUUUAAAGACUUUUUUAUGAUAACUACUUCUAAAAUUAUAGAUAUGAUUGAAUGUGAUUUGUUAAUAAUUUAACUUUUUUUACAUUGACGAUGUAUAUCAAAAUUAACUAUGGCUAUAUCAAGGUUUAUUAUAUCAUAGUUUAAAAAGUGAAUACUUUUUCCUCUCCUCACUGAUUCCUUAUUUUGUCCGAUGUAGGAAGGUCCCGAAAGUUUUCAGUUUGAAGAGAACAAGAAUUUUUGGGAGUUCUGAUUUUCCUUUCCCUAUUAGCUCAGGAAUGGAAAAUUCAUAUAAAAAAUCUAGGCAAUGGCUAAAACAGCAUUUUAAGUAUAAUAGAUGAGGAAAAAAAGCAUAAUAGAAGAAAAAAAAUUAAGAUUUAUUGAUAUUGGAAAAAAUUAAGAUUUAUUGAUAUUGUAAAAUGAUAUAUAAAUGGGAGAAAAAAAGUAAAUUGGGAGAAUUUUACUUCUUAUAACUUUAAUAAUCUUAUUUUAAACUGGUUAAACUUUUCUUAAUGACCGACGUUAGUAUAGUUAAUUACUUACCAUACUAUUUGUUAGAGGGAGGAGUUGAAUAAAUGACCUCUUUACCACUCAAUCCUUAUUGAAAGUAAUACGUAUUUAAAUAUCAUGUAAGAUAAGUUUAGCAUCUUUCUUAAAUGUCAUCAUCUCUAGUCAACUCCAAGUCUUUCUUUUGCUUGGAGGAAGUUUCUUGUAAUAGAAAAUAUCCCAUAAUUUUAGUAUAUAUAAUAUAAUAAUAUGAGAUGAUUAUAUGAGGUCGGGAAGAACUGCUCACAUUCCUAAAAAAAAUGAAGCUGGGUUUGAUAAAUAGUUUCCUUUUAUAUUUUGUGACAUUGAUGUUAAUGCUAACUCAAGGAUGUAACGGUUGCUUAGAGAAAGAGAGAAUAUCAUUGUUGGAGAUCAAACACUACUUCUUGUCACAAACAGGAGAUCCUUACAAUAAAUUGGGUUCAUGGGUUGAUGAUAGAGAUAGCAAUUGUUGUUCUUGGAACAAUGUCAAGUGCUCUAACAUCUCUUCGGGUCACAUAAUUGAAUUAUCCAUCCGAAAGUUACUAUUCGAUAUACCCUUUGAUAUGAAGUUAAAUGUUUCACUAUUCCGUCCAUUUAAAGAGCUACGGCUCCUCGACUUGUCCUACAACUCCUUUCUAGGCUGGAUUGGCAACGAAGGUACUACGUUCGUCCUUAUAUAUAAAAUUUCUUUAAUAAACUUAUACAAAUUAAAAAAGUUCAUUAAUUUUUAUUUGUUGUGUUAAAUUUAUUAACAUUUUAAUUUAUAUUGUCAUAAUUAGCAAUAAUUGACGGGUGAGUUUAAGUUUUCUAAAAAAGAUUGUUAUUUUACAACAUGAAAAUUCAAUGUUCAAAUCUCAAUUAAGAGAGAUGUCAGUACUUUCUAUUUAUUACAAUAUCUUAUAUACGAAUUAAAAAUCAAUGAUCUUAUAAAAUUUGGUGGGAUCAAUAUAAAUUUCAACCAAUACAAACAUAAGUGUUGUAAAUAGUAUAUCACUAGCAUAAUUAAAAAAUACAUAAUACAAGAGAGAAUUUUCUUAUAGGUACAAGAGAGAUAUUUUUACUGAAGCCUUUUAUAGUGUUGUAAAAAGUGUGGUAAAUAGUGUGUUACUAGCAUAAUUAAAAAAAUAUUGUUAUAUUUGUCGUUGUAUCCAUCAAUUUGGUCUCUCUAAGAUAGUCUCAGAUACUAAUUAAAACUAUGAAAGUGUUUAUAAUUUUACGAUGAUUUUAUAAAUUCUUUAAUUUUAGGAUCGAGCUCUGUAAUUUUUUAGGCCAAUUGAGGGAUUAAUUUUUCUAUUUUAUUGUUCUCUUUCAUUUAUUAAUUUUUCUAUUUCAUGGUUCACUGUUUUUUUGUUCUCUUUCAUUUUUCAUGACUUUUGUUUCCAUAUUGUAACAAAUUUAAAAAUAAACCAUUGACAUAAACAUUUUUCAUUAAUCACUGUAUUUUCCCUUCAUUUUUCGUGACUUUUAUUUCUCUUUUGCAACAAAUGCUGAAAUAAACUAUUAACAAGAAACUGUUUUCAUUAAUCAUGUUUCUUUUGAAGGGUUUCCUAGACUUAAAAGAUUGGAGACAUUAGAUCUUUCAGGGAACUAUCUAAAUAGUAGCAUUUUGCCAAGUUUGAAAGGAUUGACUGCUCUGACAACUUUGAAGUUGGUUUCCAAUUCGAUGGAAAACUUCUCUGCUCAAGGUACAUUUUGUUUCAAUAAUUUAUUUAUGGAGUUUAUGUGAUGAAGUGAAUGAAUUAGAAUACAAUUAUAAGAUCCCCAAGAAAAUAUAAUUUUUAACGAUAAUAAGAGACUUUAAAUAAAAUGAAAAAGUGGUUAUGAAUCAUCGGUAGGAAUUGAAAUUAAUUAACAAAAGCUUUUCAUUAUGUAUAUAUAUUGUUGAAGGAUUUUCGAGAUCAAAGGAGUUGGAAGUCUUAGACCUUUCAGGAAAUAGGCUAAAUUGCAACAUAAUAACAAGUUUGCAUGGAUUCACAUCAUUAAGGAGUUUGAUUCUGAGUUACAACAACUUCAAUUGUUCUCUCUCCACUUUAGGUAAACAUCUUCAAUUCUUAUAUUAUGACGAAUGAUUUUAUUAUCAUUUAUUAAAAAGAAAUAAAUUAUGUCCUUGCAACAGAUUUUGCCAAAUUUAGUCGGCUAGAACUAUUGGACUUGGGUGGUAAUCAAUUUACUGGUUCUCUACAUGUUGAAGGUACUUUUACUGUUAUUGUUGUUUCAAAUAUUACAAAGAAACACAAAAUUUAUUAUUACUAUUUAUGGCAAAACAAUUUAUAUAUAGGAAAAUUUCUUCUAUUUGAGAAAUUCAGACUUUGUUUAGGAAUUUAAAAUCCACAUUAUAAAUCAUAUUCUCAAUAGAAACUCUAAGUUAAUGAGUUUACAAUCUCUAAUUAAAUUCAAUAAAAUAAUUCUCCACACAAUUCGCCACAUUAUAAAUCAUAUUCUCAAUAGAGGCUUCCAUAAAUAUUUCCACAAACCUGCAUUCUCAUCCAAAGGUGGUUAUGGACUUUGUCUAGCCAUUUCCUCUUUGACGCGAUAGUAUGCCGACUUCAAUGAGUAAAUGCCAUCGUUAUGCAAAAUUAAGUUCAGGAAAAACGUGAGUAAUUUUGGCAGAAUAAAAAUAACAAAGACAUCAAGCCUCAAUUCUAUCAAUAAUAUAACCUUAUCGUUUAAUGCUAAUACUUUGACACCAAGUCAAACAUAAUCUGUUCUUCAAAAAUAAUAGUCAAACAUAAUUUGAAUUUUUUUUUGGGGAAUAGUUCUUACCGAUUUAUUUAUUGAAAAUUAUAUCUCUAACUAUGUACUCUCUUUUUUUUUCUUCUGCAGAUGUUCAACAUUUGAAAAAUUUGAAAAUGUUAAGUUUAAACGAUAAUCAAAUGAACGGCUCAAUUGAAGGUAUCAAUACUACCAAACACAAAUAAUUAAUUCAUAAUUGCUUCACGGGAUGGUUUUGGGGAUCGAUUGUUACAAUGAAGAUAACUUUUUUUUUUAUUUUAAAUUUUAAAUAAUUAACAAAAACAACGAAAUAAGUUAAUUAAUGUAUAUAUUGACGCCAUUGGAAAAACUUUUAAGAUUUUUAUGAUAAUGUCAAUUUUUGUAAAGAUGACAGGACAUAGUUAAUUAUGACAGGACUAUGCAAUUUUAAGGAUUUGGUAGAACUGGAUAUCAGCAAAAACAUGUUUAGUGCUAAACUUCCAGAUUGUUUAAGCAACUUAACAAACCUCAGAGUUCUUGAACUUAGUAAUAAUCUGUUCAGUGGAAAUUUUCCAUCUUUCAUUAGCAAUCUCACAUCACUGGCAUACUUAUCCUUCUAUGGAAAUUACAUGCAAGGAUCAUUUUCAUUGAGCACUUUGGCUAAUCAUUCCAAUCUUGAGGUUCUAUAUAUUUCAUCAAAAAACAAUAUUGGAGUAGACAUUGAAACUGAAAAAACAAAGUGGUUUCCUAAAUUUCAAUUGAAGUCACUUAUUGUUAGAAAUUGCAACCUAAACAAGGACGAAGGAAGUGUCAUUCCUACUUUUCUUUCAUAUCAAUAUAAUUUGGUAUACUUGGUCCUCUCCAGCAACAAUAUAAAUGGCUCACUCCCAAGUAAUUGGUUGAUACAUAAUGAUGACAUGAUAUAUUUGGAUAUAUCAAACAACAAUUUGAGUGGUUUGCUUCCAAAAGAUAUCGGUAUAUUCCUUCCUAAUGUUACCUAUUUGAACUUUUCAUGGAAUAGCUUUGAAGGAAAUAUACCUUCAUCAAUUGGUAAGAUGAAACAACUUCAACUCUUGGACUUCUCUCAAAAUCAUUUCUCAGGUGAGUUACCUAAACAACUGGCCACAGGUUGUGAUAAUUUACAAUACUUGAAGCUCUCCAACAACUUUCUACAUGGGAACAUUCCAAGAUUUUGUAAUUCAGUGAAUAUGUUUGGGUUAUUUCUUAAUAAUAACAACUUUAGUGGAACACUUGAAGAUGUAUUAGGAAAUAAUACAAGAUUAGAAACGCUGUCCAUAUCCAAUAAUUCAUUCUCAGGCACAAUUCCUAGUUCAAUUGGGAUGUUUUCUAACAUGUGGGCCCUUCUUAUGUCUAAAAAUCAAUUAGAAGGUGAGAUCCCUAUUGAGAUUUCCAGCAUAUGGCGGCUUCAAAUUUUAGAUCUUUCUCAAAACAAGUUAAAUGGAUCAAUCCCACCUUUAAGUGGUUUGACUCUUCUAAGGUUCUUGUAUUUGCAAGAGAAUGGUCUCUCUGGAUCAAUCCCAUAUGAACUCUAUGAAGGCUUCCAACUACAACUUCUAGAUUUGAGGGAGAACAAAUUUUCAGGAAAAAUUCCCAACUGGAUGGAUAAGUUCUCAGAAUUAAGGGUCCUUUUAUUAGGAGGGAACAAUUUUGAAGGAGAAAUUCCAAUGCAGUUGUGUCGGUUAAAAAAGAUCAACAUAAUGGACUUAUCACGAAACAUGCUCAAUGCUUCCAUACCAUCUUGCUUUCGAAAUAUGUUAUUUGGAAUGAGACAAUAUGUUGAUGCUGUUUUUGACCUCUCAUCCAUCUUAUAUGGCCAACAUAUACAAGACACACAUUAUUUCUUCGAUUCUAGUUUGUCGAUUGAUCUUCCAUUGGAAAAAGAUCAAUUGAUUGAAGAUCUACUACAUUUGGAAGUGGAGUUCAGAACAAAGCACUAUGAAUACUUUUACAAGGGUAAAGUUCUAGAGAAUAUGACUGGAUUGGAUUUAUCAUGCAAUAAGCUAACAGGUGUCAUCCCUUCUCAAAUUGGAGACCUACAACAAAUUAGAGCCUUGAAUCUAUCACAUAAUCACUUGUCAGGUCCCAUUCCAAUCACUUUUUCAAAUCUUACCCAAAUAGAGAGUCUUGACUUAUCAUACAAUGACUUGAGUGGUAAGAUACCCAAUGAACUAACCCAGCUAAACUUUUUGUCAACCUUCAAUGUGUCAUACAACAACCUUUCUGGAACACCACCUAGUAUAGGCCAGUUUGCAAACUUUGAUGAGGAUAACUACAGAGGUAAUCCCAGUCUUUGUGGACCACUCCUCAGUCGAAAGUGUGAACGUGUCGAGCCUCCACCAUCAUCCCAAUCCAAUGACAAUGAAGAAGAGGAAACUGGUGUGGACAUGAUAACAUUUUAUUGGAGUUUCACAGCAUCUUACAUAACAAUACUAUUGGCCUUCAUAACAGUGUUGUGCAUCAAUCCACGUUGGCGCAUGGCCUGGUUUUAUUACAUCAGUAAGUUUAUGCGUAGAUUCUUUCCAACUUUUCCAUUGUAUUGAAGAGUGGCCAUAGUUCCUGUUGAAACAUUAUGUGGAGUCUCAAAUAUUUGCAUAUUGUAAUUUUUAUAUUUACCUUUAAUUUCAGACAAUUUGAUGUUCGUUUCCUUUUGUGUUAUGUACUUAUCUGGAGUGCUUUGAAGCUAUUGUUAUAAAUUAUUGUUGUUUUUCCAACAUAUUGAAUCUAUCACAGAAUACCUUCCUUACAAGUUAUGCUUGCAGGGUGUGAAACAGAGGCGCUGUGAUAAAAGGAAACAUAUAUCAUUUGUCUCUAAUUAUAAAGCACUCGUUGGAAAAAUAAUUUCUCAUUAGGAAGAAGUUUUCACGACCUCUUUGCAAGAUUCAUACAGUCACGGUUUAAAAUAACGGUUAAGUCGUGUUAGGAUUUUGCGAUUUUGAUUGUUACGUGUAAGGGUUUGCACAAUUGAGAAUGUGAUAGAUGUCUAAUCUCAAAUUAAUUAUGAAAUCAAAGGUAGAAGUGAUAGAUGAAAACCUAAUUAAAAUUGGUCUUUUUAGUACAUAAAGAAAAAGAUAAAAGAAGAAAGGAGAGAUUUAAGUCAUUACUCUACAUGAGAGUACUAAAGAGAGAGGAGAGAUUUCAACAAUUUUCUUUAUACCUAUUAUUGAUCACCAUUUUCCUACUUAUGUGCGAGAGUUAACUUAAAAUCAAGAUCUGCAGGAAUCAUGACAUGAUUGCUGGGCAACGUGGCACGAUUGGAGAUUUCAAGUUUGAGGCAAAGCUCUGGAAAAAUCGUGGCACGAUGGGAUCACAUCGUGGCACGAUGGUGCGCUGGCAGCGAAAAACAGAAACAUAUUUUUGAGUGCAGAUUUGUUCCAAAUUUUAAGCGAUACUUUUACUAUAAAUAUAGACCUUGUAUCAGAGCAAACUUUGAGAUAGAGGGGGCUGAAACAAGGGUUUAGAAAGGCAACAACAAAACUAGGAUUUGUAUAGAGUUUGUCUCUUUGGAACAAACACUAGGUUUUGAGGGUUGAUUCACUUUGGGAAACACUAUUAGGAUUGAGUCUUUUGGUUACGGGAAGAGAUUGGGGCUUUGUGUAGAAUUAGGCGGGAGACUUAUUCUUGUAACCCAUUGAUUUCUCUUUUGUAACGAUACUCAUCAUAUAGUGGAUUGGAGGGCUGCUCUCUCCCCCAGACUAGGUCAAUUUGGACCGAACUGUGUCAACAAAUUCUUUUGUGUUCUUCUCGCCGUUGUUUUUCUACUUUUGGCUUGUAUUUAAUUGUUCCAUACACUUUGUUUUGGUUGCUUGAUUAUCCAUUGCUCCACACAUCAAGUUAUUAUUGGUGUGAUUUUCAUCGAAUUCACAACAUUAUGCAUAAUCCAAGCUUCCAUGAUUUUUUAAUCACUAGCCACAUGUCCAUUUGCCUCAACCAAUUAUGUUAUGCCGAGUGUAUUUUCUCAUGUUAUUUUCAAUCAUAACAUUGCACAAAUAUUAUUAAAAUUAUUUAUAUUAUCAUAUAAUGUAUAAUAACUUAAUUUCUCAUUGUUUCUUCAUAAUUUCAUUACUAUAAUUCUUUUCAUAAUUUUGUAAUGAAUUUUUUCUUAUAUAAACAAAAUUAACCUCUAAUAAAUUAGGUUGUAAUGUUUUAGAAGAGACAAGACCACAAAAAUUAAAUGAGACAAUAAAUGUAUGUUCCCUACCGUUCGUUGCAGCCGUAACGACGUUUCGUCGUCGCAUAAUAAAAUUUUUCUUUCGUUGUUUAUUUGAUUUUUGUUCGCUAUUGUUAUCGCGAUUUUCGGGUGUCAAGUCAUUAAUUAGGCUUGAACCUUUCAAUCUUUGAUAUUCUCUAUUUUUUCUUGGGAAGGGCAAAAUUGAGAAAAAACCCUUGGAUUCUAAGUUCGGGGGUCGUUUUCACUACGGGAAGGUGUUAGGCACCCGCGGUGACUAUAGUACUCUAUAGGAGCUGUUUUCUUAGUUUAUGUCUACGCUUUAUUUUUAAUGCUGUUUAUGAAAAAGGAAAUUUAUUUAUGUUAAGAAUGGGGGAGAAAGUGUUUGAGGUUUUAUUUUAGUGGACUUGGAGAGGUUUUGACCUCAUGCCUACAUACCCAUUUAAGGGAUCAAACUCCAUGUAGUUCUCUUUCAAAAAUGUUUUUUGUGUGUUUGGUUGAUUUUAGUUUUUGUUGGAAAAUGGUUUUGAAGAAGAGAAAGAGGCCUUAAAGGCAUAAGAGAAGAAAAUGGUGAAUGGUUGGUUCAAUUGUUAUUAAAAAAGUCUAAGUAGGAAUUAGGAUUCAUUUGGAUUUGGUUAAGAAAAUAAAGGAAAAAAUUCAAUGGAGUUUUGACUCCAAGGUUUGUUUGAAAAAAAAAUUGAGUGAUGGAAUUUAUUAUUUAUUUUUUUUUGAAAUUGGCAUUUGUCUAAAAAUCGCGUUUCCUAAGCAUACAUCUAAACGGUAAACAUGCAACGUGUGUGCGUGUCGGUGCUUGUGUCGGUGUACAUCAUUAGAGUCCAUUGUCCUUUACACUUUGCCCUAGUUUACAUGCUAUGGUCUUGCGAGUAAUUAAAAGAAAGCUAAUCUACCUAAAAUUAUUACAAACCCAUUUGAUAUAGAAAUGAAUAGAAAAAAAAAAGCCUAAACUAUGAGAUGGAUGAAAUAUGAAAUGAAAUGGUUAGUAUCAUAAGGCAUAAAAAAUGGUAAAAAGGGUAAACAAAAUUGAAUAGAAUAGCAAAAAAGAAAAGAGCAAUGAAAUGAAAUAAAAUGACAAAAUAUACCUAGAAUUAGGUAUAACACUUAGACAUGCAUAUGGCUUAUAAUUCCCUCAUCAUAGCCAUUUUUAAAAGAGAUUUGAUUUUAAGCUACAAUGUGAGGAUCAUAAGAACACACACAAGCAAAGCAUCAUACCAUAUUCCUAGAGAUAUUUUUACACAUUAUUUAACAUAGUAAAAAAAACAAAAAUAUCACAAAAUAUCAAAAAAUGCACCAAGAACAAAUAGGAAUUUAAUGAGCAAGAAUUGAAAAGAACAAAUGAAGAAAAUAAAUGCAAAAAAUAAGCAAGUAAAUUCUAACAUUUAGAAAAAAAUUAAAAUGAUAGGGAAACAUUUUUAGAAAAUUUUAGGAGCAUAAAAUGCCAAGAAAGUGUAAAAAAAGUAAUUUAAAACACAAUAAAAAAAGCAAUUAAAAAAAAAACUACAGCAGGUUAUAAUCUGGACCGUUGGAUGAAUCCAGAGGUCCAGAUCUAACUCCCAAGAUCUCAUCACAGCCACUGGAUCAAAGAUCCAAGGGUUAAAAAAAACAACAAAAAGAUAGUGUAAAAUUGCAGGAAGCACAAUGACCGUUAGAUCAAAGAUCUAACGGUUCAAACACAAGAUAUACCAUAUUUCACACAGAAGAUCACACACAUGAUUCAAGAUCAAAACACACAGCAGCCAUCAGAUCUUGGAACGAUCCAGAUCUGAUGGUUCACAAUACGAGGGAGCACAGCAAGAGCACGCAUGCGCGCGCGUGCGAACAGAGGAGUAUAAAAAGGAGUUUCAAACAAAAAAAAAAAACAAAAGUUCUCAAAAAUCCUCUCUCUUCUUUGGAUUCUAGAGAGAGAGAGUCUGACCUCUCUCUAGAAUCCGGUCAUCUUCUCCGGCGUAACCAGCUUCUCCGGCGCGGUGGCCGGCCACCGGUAAAUUUUUUUUUGGCUCCGAUUCAAAUUUUUUUUUACAUUUUUUAAACAUCCUUUUUUCUCCUAUGCAUGAAUCUGAGCUUAGUUUUUUGAAAAAGAAUUUCAACCGGAGUAGAUCUGAGUUUGAAGUCGCGGUUUUGAAAAAAAAUUUUAGGUUUGAAAUUUUCUUGACUCAAAUCCUUUUUAUCUUUCUCGAUCUGUAACGAUUCACUUGCGUUGAUGCUUUUCGAGAAAGAAAGAUGAAGUUUACGUGUUUACCUCUGGUUUAGUUGGAGAUUUCGAACUGAGAUCUUUGAGAAACUUGAAUCUUGGUGCUGCUUGUUGAUUUUUGUGUGAAAACCGAAAAUAAAUCGGUGUUCUUGCUGGUUUGAUUCUUUCUUCUUCUUCACCGGUUCAGAUUCCUGUUUCUUUCCUUCUUCUUCUUCACUGAUUCUCUGUGAUCGGUGCUUGAGUUUCCCAAUGGCGAAUUCGCGCCUUGAAUUGCAGAGAAUCCGGUUCAAUGAUGAUGAUUGUUUGAAGAAUCACUGAGAACUGAACGAAUUUAGUUGAAAUUGUUGAUGAAUUGUGAUUCUGGAAUUCUAGGGUUCAUGAAUGUUCUUCAUGUUCUUGAUAGUUUCUGAGUUUUUGAUCUAACUGAAUGGAGAGAGAAACUGUGAUUCUGUUUGUUGAGGUGGCGUGAAUUGUGUGGAUUCCUCUGGAAAUUCUGACACUGUGUUGUAUUUAUAGCUGACAUGUGUACUUGAGAUCUAAUGAAAUGGUGACAUCUGUCUUUUGUGAAGAAGGCUCGGCCUUGGACUGAAUUUUUGACUUAGGGACCUUUCUGCAAAAAGAAAAAUUAAAAGGACUAAUCUGCAAUUAUGAAAAAAGGACUUUAAAAUGCAAUUUGGAAAAGUAUUGGACUAAAAUGCAAUUUUAGAAACUGUUUCAGGGACUAAAAUGCAAUAAUAAUAAAAAAAAUAAAAUUGGACUAAAAUUGGUAAAUUGGACAAAACGUAAAGUGAAACCAAAAAAUAAAAAUCAACAAAAGGACUAAAAUGAACCAGCUACAAAAAUGAGGUAUUUUAAAAUACCUCUCUGCCGAAGUUUUGACAGGAAAAGACCAAAAUGCCCCUAGGGACUAAACUGACUCAAACUGACUCAGAUGCAAUUUUUGAAAUGAUUUUUAAACAAAGACUCAACAAUGAUUUGUACAGACAAAUUGAAAAGACUCAGAGGCAAACACAGGGACUAAAAUGGGUUCCAAUGUAGGAAAUGACCAAAAUACCCUUUUGUAUGAUUUUUGAAAUAAAAUGCAAGAAAAGUAACGCGACGUUUCAGAGAGUUCUUAAAUGACUUGUAAUGUCAGAAAAGACAGAGGCAGUAAAAUACGUUUAAAAGAGAGUAAAGAUUCAGAGUAAAAUAACAGAGAAUUGACAAAUAUCAGUGUUAAAAAAGAAAUUUGAACGAGUAUUUUUAGGUCCAAAAUCAGGGUAUAACAGCUAUGUUAAAACGGAGAAAGGUAUCAGACACAACCUGUACCUUUUUGCGGCGGCCAUUUUCACAGCACAAUCUCACAUCCUUGACAUACUUGAAACUCUGAAAAUCACACGCAAGGACCAUUUUCAGUAAGCACUUUGGCUAAUCACUUCACGCUUCAGGAUCUAUAUAUUUCCUCAGAAAGCAUUGGAGAACACAUUGAAACUUAAAAAACAAAGGAAGAGUCAUUCCUAGUUUUCUUUCAUAUAAUAUAAUUGGUUAAAAUAUGGUUUUGGUCCCUGCAAAUAUGCCUCGUUUUUGGUUUUAGUCCCUAGUAAAAAAAAAAUUUGUUUGUUUUUGGUCCGUGCAAAAUAUUUUGUUUUUGGAAAUAGUCCCUGGGACUAUUUCCAAAAACAAAAUAUUUUACAGGGACCUUUUUCAAAAUCAAAAGAUUUUGCAGGGACUAUUUCUCUAAUAAAUGGGUUCAGUCAUCAUGUGUCACAUGUGCAAAUCAUCACAAAAGUGGAGCCAGAGACCAAAACCAAAAUGAGGCAUAUUUGCAGGGACCAAAAACAACAAAAAUAAUUUGCAAGGACUAAAACCAAAACAAGACAUAUUUGCAGACCUUACCAGAAACAAAAUAGUUGGCUCAUUCCCAAGUUGGUUGAUACAUAAUGAUGAUAUACAAUAUUUGGAUAUAACAAAUAAUAUUUUAGGUGGUUUCCUUCCUUGGUUUAUCUAUUUGAAGUAGUCGUGGAAUAGCUUCGAAGGAGAAUGAUCUCGCUGGAUCUAUACCAUUUGAACUGUCUGGAAGUUCACAGCUGAAACUUUUAGACUUGAGGAGAACAAAUUUUCAGGUAACAUUCCCAACUGGAUGGAUAAUCUUUCAGUGCUCAAUGCAAAAAUUAUCAACAUGAUGGACCUAUCACGGAACAUGCUCAAUGCUUCACUUGGAACGAGACAACAUGAUGUCGAGUACAGUCCUAUGGCAGAAUGAUAUACAUUUGGAAGUAGAGUUCAGAACAAAGCACAAUCAAUGAUUACUUUUACAAAGGUAAAGUCCUAGAAGAUCUAAUUUACUCUAUUUGAGUAUACAUUUGUCAUAGAAGAUCACAAGGCGUGCAGACUUAGCAAUAUUAAACACUGCUUAUGAACUUAAUAUCAGACAUAUCUUUAUGCAUAUAAACAUUAUUUUUAUUCGUAUAGUCCUAAUGUAAGGAAAAAUGUGUAUGUAAUGUUUAUUAAAAUUCUGAUCGUGUUUCUAAGUUUAAACACCAUAAUUCGUGCCAUAUAUAUAGUUUGCACAUUGAUUCCCCUCUCUAAGAGUGUGAGAAACCGUUACAUUGAUUUGUUGAAGCAUUUGUUUUAUGUCUUGUAUGAUAACAGCAUAGAUAUGGAACCUCUCAAUGGGGCCAUAUAUAAGGUUGAUGCAAGCAAGAGAAUCAGAAUAGCAAGAAAGUUCUGCAUAUCCCAAAUCCUUUGCCAUGAUCAGCCCGUGAUAGAUAGCAGAAAGAUCACCUAGCAAGAUGUCAUCUGAACCUGGAAUCCAACUAGAGAAGCCUGAAAGGAAUAUACCUGCAUGAGUACGCAAGACUCCACCAAACCCGGUUUUGAUAGGAGAACCGUGGCAACUUCCAUCCACAUUAAGAAUAGCACCUGAAAAAUUGUUAUUAUUUCCAUCUAAUGUACCUGUUAGUUGUAAAAGCAGAAGCAGAAGGUGAAUAGUUGAUUACAAUGCUUUCAAUCGAAUUUUUGAUCUUACAAGCCAGGCGAUGUAAAGACCAAGUUUCACCACCCAAACACAUAAGGUUUCGAUGUCGCCAAGACCACCAAACUCCGACAUAAAAAGUGAUAGCAUGGGAACCCUUAGUUCCCCCUUUUAGUUGUUAAUGUUAAAUGAGUUUGAAUUUCAUCCCAAAAGUUAUCUUAAAGAUAAAGUGUUAAAAAAUUCACUUUUAAGAUGUGAACUUAAGUUAUGUUUGAAAUUUGAUUUCUUCGGUUGUGGGAGUUUGACUUUCAUUUAGGUGUUGAAUUUGGUUUUAGUGGUUAGCUUUCUUAUUGGUGUCGGUGAUAGCAAUCAGUUAGGGGUGUUUAUAUUUGUGUUUUUAUAAUUUUAUUUUAGGUGUUCAACCUAGAUAUGACAACAUAGUUUUAUUGUUUAUGUUUAGUCGAUUUUUGUUCAUCUUGUGCAAUACCGAUUGCACCAACUAAAAUACUCACAAUCAUAGCGGCCGUAGCAACAAUUUAAAAUCAUAAUUUACAUCACAUUGUCAUUUAUUUUUGACAAGUCCAUCACAUUAUCAUAACACCAAUAAAAUAAAUAUUUAUGUACUAUUCUUUGGUACACCAUAAACACGUGAAGGUACAAAAAUAUUAAACUGGAAAAAAAUGAAUAUUGAAACUUUCCAACGGUUUAGAUAUAAAUGUAACGUUAUUUGACUAUGAAUAAAUGUUGAAAGCAACUAUAUUAAACUAAUAUGUUCAAACAAGUGAUUAAUUGCAUGCAAGAUAAGUUUACCAUUUUUGUCAAAUAUCAAUUCUAUGUCUUUCUUGUGCUUCGUGGAAGUUUCUUUAGAAUAAAAACAUGUCUCAUCUGUUAGUGCUAUAUAUAAUAAUAUAAGGGGAUUGAUUGAUUACACAAUAUACAUACAUUUCUAAAAAAUGAAGUUGGGUUUGAUAAUUAGUUCCCUUUUUUAUUUUAUGACAUUGAUGUUAAUACAAAAUGAAGGAUGUAACGGUUGUGUAGAGAAUGAGAGAAUGGGGUUGUUAGAGAUCAAGAAGUACAUAGUGUCACAAGUAGAAUAUUAUAAUAAAGAAUUGAGUUCAUGGGUUGAUGAUAGAGAUCAUAGCAAUUGUUGUUCUUGGAAAAGAGUCAAGUGCUCUAACUUUUCUUCUGGUCACAUAACUAAACUAUCCAUUCAAGGAUUACUAUUUGCGACCCCUCAUCCAAAUAUGUUAAAUAUUUCACUGUUCCGUCCAUUUGAAGAGUUACGUCUUCUCGAUUUGUCCUUGAACGGGUUUCGAGGUUGGAUUGGCAACAAAGGUACUAUAAAAGUUGGUUAAUUUUGAUUUCUUGCGUUAAAUCUAUUUUCAUUAGCUAGUAUUUAUGAUAUCUUGCAUCCGAGUUCAAACUUCUCAUAGCUUACUUUGCAUUUUUUUUUAAAGGUUUUCCUAGACUAAAAAAGUUGGAGACAUUAGACCUUACAAACAACAAUCUAAAAGGCAGCAUCUUGUCAAGUUUGAAUGGAUUAACUGCUCUAAAAACUUUGAAGCUCAGUUAUAAUUCGAUAUAUAAUAACUACCCCACUCAAGGUACGUUAAGUUUUUGUAAUUUGUUUAGGCUUAAUUGCACUUUUCCUCCCUAUCUUUUGUUAAUUUGGCGAUUUUGCACCCCAUCUUUUGCCAAUUUUAUUUUGUUCAAAAUCAUCAUUAAAAGAGAGGAAAAUGGGCUAAAGAUAGGGUGCAAAAUCGCUCAGAAAAAAAGAGGGAGUGCAAAAUCGCACAAUUAGCAAAAAGAUAGGGGGAAGAAGUGCAAUUGAACACAAAGAUGGGGUGCAAAAUCAGAAAGGGGGCAAAAAGAUAGGGUGCAAAAUCGCACAAUUAAAAAAGAUAAGGGGGAAAAGUGCAAUUAAGCCAUUUGUUUAUGUGUCCGUAUUAGAGACUAUAUUUAUCUCAUUGAUUAGUUAGUGAUAUUUAACCAUAGUUAGACAUUAGUUUAGAGAUAGUGUUAGUAUACAAUUACUGAUUCUUCUUCUGUUAUAACCAUGUUUGGUUAAACUCAUGUAUAUAUACUUUGUUUCUAAUCAAUGAAAGUAAGCUCAUUUUCUAUCAUUCACAUCGCCACUCUAGGAUGACCUUGAGUAUUCUUCCCACCGUCUUUCCAAGCUGAUGUUGAGUGUUUACUGUCUAUCAGACUACCACCGAUCUACAAGGAAUCAUUACCUAGGUGAGAAACGUCACCUUCCUCAUCCCCCUAACAUGACACCAUCAGAUCACCCGCAUCCUCAUAAUGCUCAAAGACAACUUGCGUAGAGUUUUUAUUGUUCUCCGUCCAAUCCCUCUUGAAGUGACCCAUCUUGUGACACUUAUAGCACUUAUACUUUGUCUUGUUACCACUGUUUUAGCUUCCUCAGUUACCUCUACCUCCGUCAUUCCCUCUUGAAACGCUUAGGCCUUCACUAUUUUUCAUUCGCUCUCAAGUCCUUGGACUUGGUCAACUUCUUGGUUCUUAAAGCUGCUUGGACUUCCUCCAAGGUGAUAGUGUCUUCUUUUCCAUAGAGGAUGGUAUCCUGGAAGGAUUCAAAUGAUCUUGGUAGAGCACACAACAAGAGUAUAGCCUUGUCUUCAUCCUUAAGAUGCACCUCAAUGUUCUCUAAAUCAUAAAGGAUUUUGUUGAACGUCGUUAGUUGCUCCAUUACGGUCUUUAACCUCACUAUCUUAAAUGAGUAGAUUUGUUGAUUUAGGAUUUGUCUAUGAGCCAAAGACUUUGUCAUAUACAAAGACUCCAACUUUGCCCAUGCCGAUGUUGCGGUACGUUCCUUCACAACAUCCCUCAACACUUUAUCCCCGAGGCACAAUACAAUAGCACUCAUUCCUUUGUCCACCAUCUCGGCCUUCUCCUCUUGUGACAUGGUGAUCGGUAACGCUCUUUCGCCCUUCAAAGUUUUCUCACACUUUUGUUCUAUCAAAACCGCUUGCAUCAUCACCUUCAUGUUGCGGUACGUUCCUUCACAACAUCCCUCAACACUUUAUCCAUGAGGCACAAUACAAUAGCACUCUUUGCUUUAUCCACUAUCUCGGUCUUCUCCACUUAUGACAUUGUGUCCAGUAAUGCACCUUCACCCUUCAAAGCUUUCUCACACUUAUGUUGUAUCAAAACUGCUUGCAUCUUCAAUUUCCAUAACUCAAAAUCGUUACUUCCAGUGAACUUCUGAAUAUCUUACUUUGAACCCAUGGUACUCACUUAACCAAUUCACUACUUUGCGCCCCAAUGGGCGCCAAUUGUUGUUAAUGCAGACUCAAAAUCACACCAAUAUAAAUAUGGUGUGUGGAGCAAAGGAAAGUAGUAAUUGAUAUCAAAGUAACCUCAAGCAACAACAAUAUCAAACCUAGAUCUAAUUUAGGAAUCAAGUGAAAAGCACAAAACCACAUGCAACAGAUAAAUAGAGAAGAGAAACAAAUACACACCAAUAAAUGUUUACCCAAUUCAGUCCAAAUUGACCUACUCUGGGAGAGAGAUUGAUCUUUCCAAUCCACUAUCAAUGAGUUCUUACAAAUAGAUAUACAAGGGUUGCAAUAAAUUAGCUUCAACAAGUUCACAAAGAACAAACCCUAAUUUCUACCCUUUUUCCAAUCACUCCAAUGAACAAGUCACUAAAUGAUUUUCACUCACCCAAGGUGUUUACAAAUGUUUCCCAAUCCAAGAGAACCCUCACCAAAGACCCGCAACCCUAUAGUUACCUCCUUUGAUUUUCCAAAUUUCUCUCUCUUCACUUUUCACAAAUUUCAUUUUUUAGUCAAAAUUGCUACACAUUUGUUCAAAACUAGUUUCAAAUAGUUUGCUAAAGAGCAAUGAUAUUUGUACAUCCAUUCCAUGACAACUUUAGUGACAACCUUGUUUUUCUCUCUUCUUAUUGGUCAAAAACAAUGGAGAGAGAAAAAGGAAGAGAGAGGAUAAAAUCAUAAUGUGAGUAUGAGAGAGAAAGUUGUACAAAAGUUGUCACAAAUUGGUUGUACAAAUAUCAUUUCUCUUUGCUAAAAAAUUCACAUGUAUUGUCUCUCACAUGGAGUGGUACAAUAUGUGUAUGAAAAAAAGUGUGUACAUAAAACAUUAUCCUUUUAUAAAUCACAAUACAUAAAGCAAUAUGCCUUUUAUCCUUCAUUGAAACUUGGGAGUCACCCUUUGAUAUCAAUUCAAUAUUAGUCAUAUUCAUGUUUGAAGGAAAAGUACCAGUCGAAAGCCAUACACAACAUUGAGAAAUUUUUUUUUGACCACAUAUAAGCCACUCAAACCUUCUACCACCAAGAGUAAAAGAAAUAGAGUCAAGGGAUCCACUUGUUUAAGAUCCUUUGUAUGGACACUUUUUCGUUCAGAACUAGUUAACAAGGACCAAAAUAUUUGUCGCAAAACCCAAAUCUCUUCAACAUGUAGUUUAAGAAACACCAACUAACAAAAUCAUUCUUUUUCUCAAAGUCGACCUUAAAAAUCCAGCACCCCCUUCUUUGAUCUAUUGGUUAAGUAAUUUAUGUUUUUCCUUUUUUUUUAAUAGUAGAUUUAUGUUUUUUUUUCCUAAAACUCUAAAAAUUAAAUGCAAUCUAUCUACUAUCAACAUGCAAGGGCUGAAGAUCAGGCUGCCUUUUAUUAUUGAAAAAAAGGGAUCAAAUAUCCAUUGAAGUUAAAUAUUUUUAUUUGAUAGUACGAGAUUAAAAAUAUAUCUAAUACUAAUUUUUAUAGAAUUUAAAAACCGUUUGAUACUUUUGAAGGUUUUCCUAGACUUAAAAAGUUGGAGACAUUAGACCUUUCAUGGAAUGGUAUAGAAAGUAGCAUCUUACCAAGUUUGAAUGGAUUAGCUGCUCUCAAAACUCUGAAUCUCAGUUAUAAUUCUAUGCGAAACUUCUCCCCUCAAGGUAUGUUCGUUUUCUAUAAUUUAUUUACUACAUUAUCUGUUGAUGGAAAUUUUGUAUGUUUAGUUGUAGUUUUGAUGUCUUAUAUUACUCAUGGAUUCAAUGUAUAUUUUCAAAAUUGUACCGAUUGACUGAUGUGUUUUGGUUGUUUACUUUAAUCAAAGAGACUACUUUUUCCAUCAUUAGAGGAAUUAGUAUUUAAAUCUGAACUAAGAGAGAGAGGUGUCCAUCAAAACUAUUUCUCCAUUCAAACAAAAAAAGAAGAGAAGUGUCCGUAUUUAAUACUGUUCAGGACUGCUCAAAGGACUUGCUUUAAGCAGUCUAAGAGAGAGAGAGGUGUCCAUCAAAACUAUUUCUCCAUUCAAACAAAAAAAGAAGAGAAGUGUCCGUAUUUAAUACUGUUCAGGACUGCUCAAAGGACUUGCUUUAAGCAGUCUAAGAGAGAGAGAGGUGUCCAUCAAAACUAUUUCUCACAUCACUAGGGAGGUGUUCUUGCAAGCAUGCCACCAACAUGCUCACAGGACGUUGUUCUUCUGAUUAGGUAAGAUUAGUGGCCCUGUAUGUGGAAAUUUAGAUUUCCCCAUCUUUUUAUUUUUAAAUAAAGAUUCUCGAAAUGUCCUAAUCAGAGCAUAAUACUAGACUCCAAGCAACAAGAAAAAUCGAGGAAGCGCCACGUUAAGCCUUGGGUAGUCACGCUGUCUCAAGCGUCCUAAUCAUGUAUGUCUACACCAUUUUUCAAUGGCGAGGCGGUCAACCAAACAAUCAUUGGGGGUAAGAUAACGUCCAAGUGUACAAAUAUCACCAAGCAAUUAUAUCAAGUUCACAACAUCACAUCAAUUCACAUAAAUCACCAAGGUCACAUAAUCAAUUAUGAGACAUUUCACAUGAUUCAUAUGCAUGUAAUUUUCUAGACACGACUCUUCAUGCAUGUGGUACCAUUUGGAUAUCAGAUUUAUUUUACCAAUUGAUCCGCUAUCGACAAUAAUCAUCACCAAUUUUCCAUCAACAAUAGCCAUCAACAAUAGGACUUGAUCAUGUAUGCAUGAACAUAUGACUUAACAUCGCAUAUAUUCAUAAACUAUAAAGCAAGUCAUCAACCAUCAACAAUUUUCCUCUUAAAAAAAAAAAACCAUCAACAAUAUUCAUCACUGAUUUUCAUCAACCAUAUUCAUCAACAAUAUAUACAUAUAUACAUCACUAAAUCAUACAUAUGCAUACACACCAUCAUGAACUUAUUAUCAUUAAGAAAUCAUCUUCAGCAAAAUUAUCAUCACCAUUUAUCACAACAAGAACAACGAUCACUCAAUUAGCAAUUAUCUCAUUCUAUACGAACAACCAAUUUCUCCAAGUUAACUCACUUUUCAUGAAUACAUGUCAUCACUAAAACGAUCAUAAAAAAUCACCUAGAUAGUAAUUCAUAAUCAUUUACAUGUUAGCUUGGUAUAAUUCAUCAGUUGCCAAAGCCCGUCUAGUCAUACUUUUAUCAAAGUUCGUCUAUUUUUCACCAUUUCGUACAUACAAUCAAUUUCAAUCCAAAGCCAAGUUAAAUCAAGCUUAGGUACUUAACUAUACAUCAAUUCAUUAGGUUUAGGUGUUUGGGAUCUAUUAAAAUGCGUUUCGACCUUAAAAAUACACAAGAUUUGGAGUUCUAGGACCCUGCAGAGGCCGCACGGUCGUGCCCUCUACACGCACGGUCGUGCUGACCAAGUGCCAGAGAGACGCACAAUCAUGCACGACUAUACCAGCACAAGAUUUUCUAUAAAAGUUGUUUCAUGUGCAGGACUUUGUUUUCAAAACCGUUUUUCGAUCCAUUUCGCGUCAAACAACCACAAUCACUUAAACUACUCAUGUCCUACUUUAUAACAUAAUUUUCAUCUCAAAACAACUUAAGUUUAAUUACCAAAACAUCACUUAUUUCACAUAAGUACUUAAAACGAUUUUUGACUUAAAAACCCACUUUUAUUCAAUUCAAUUCCACAUAUAUCAGUUUUCACAACCAACAACAUACUCAUAAUGCAUGUAGUUAUGAAGUUACAAUCAAUCGUUCUUUUGAAUCAAACUUCUAUGCCUUUUCCUUAAACUCUUUUAGAAACUAUUUAAAGAUCAUUUUUGAAUCUUUAUAUCUUGUAGUCUUUAAUGAAUCAAUGAAAAAAUUGGUUAAAGGUUCAUUAUCAAUAUGAUUUACCUGAGAACAGAGAUGGUCGAGAUUAGUAUCAUAAAACUGGAGGAAUAGAAUCAAUGAACAAUGUAUUGUUCAAAAUAAAGUUUUAGUUGAAUAUGAUUCAUAUGAAGAAAAAAAAAAUUAAUUAAUUCUUUCAAAAAAACAAGAACAAGAAGUUAUGUAACAAGAUACUCAAGGUAUGUAACAAAACUCAAUUUGUGUUUUGUCACAUGACUUUAAGAGUUAUGUUGUGUACCUUUCAACUACUAAUCUUUUCUUCCUCGAAUCUUUAAGACUUUGUUGAAAACCACAGUUCAUCUUCUUGUUGAAUCUUCAAUCUACACUCUUUUGAUUCAAUUAAAUUUUUUCUAUAUCUUCUUUGAGUUUGUGAUGCUACUAUUUUGGUAUUCUUCCACAAAGUAUAUAUAUGCACUUGUAAGAGACUUUUUUCUGGUUUACUUAUGUGAAAAGACUUAAGUGCAAACAUCAGUAGAUCAUUAUUCAUAAAACUUAGCGUUUAUUCCGUAAUGUUUGUUAUCAUUAAAACAUUCAUAAAAAAAAAAUUUGCUUCAAUAACUCAUUCUUACAAAACCGGAUUGUAAGGUGAGGAUUGUCUAUUCUUUAUAAACUCUUAUUAAGAGUCUUACCUAUCUGAUGUGAAACUAAAUCCACUACUCCAUCAAAACCAACCCAAGGCAGCUUAAAUUUCGCAAUUAGGCGACUAGAGGCGGACCACAGUAAUGACGGAAUUUCCUACUAAAUCAGAAGAUUGUUUUUGAAGCUAGGCUGAGACCAUAGAGGAUGAAUCUAGCUCAAUACAUAAGUUAAGUCAAUGAUUAACAGAUGCCGGUUCAAUAGCUCUCAACUCCAGGAAGUCUAGCAUGAAAAGAAGACGUGACACCAAGAUUGGAUUAUUCUUAAAAGCCCCAUCAAUUAUUUUAUUUUUUUAAGGGGAGCCCUAUCGAUAUUACUUCUUUGAUAAUAGGAGCUUUAGAAUGAUGAAUAUCAACUUUUAAGCUUUCGAGAAUGAGGAAGUCACUGAUAGAGUUGGUUGAAUCCUUAGUUUUAUUUCCUAAAGGGAAUCAUUUGGAAUGAAGGGAGAAAUUGUUGAUUUCCUAGGAAUAACUCUAUUGUUAAAUCUAGCUUGAUUUGUGGAAAACCAAAUAGAGUUGAUGAUGUUUAUUAGAGCAAUUUUCUUUUUUAAAGGAAUUUAUUAUAGCAGUUGUGAUCUCAGUUUAUUGAAAACUAUAUCUCUAACAUACAUUUGUUUUUCUUUUUUACCGCAGAUGUUCAACAUUUGAGAAACUUGAAAAUGCUAAGUUUAUGCAACAAUCAAAUGAACGGCUCACUUGAAGGUAUUAAUAUUACCAAACACAAAUAAUGAAAUUAUUGGUUUGAUUUGUAAAAUAUAUUCUUUCAUGUACACAAUAAAUAUCAAGGUGUUCUAUACCACAUACAAUUUUUGAGUCUUUUUUAUUGAGAUUUGUGGUCUAAUGUUAUAUUAUUUAUUUAUCGAAAUAUUUUAACAUAUUUUUUUUAAAAAGAAUCAAAAUAUUUUAACAUUGAAUGUGAACAAAAAAUUAUUAAUUACAAACGGUGACAGUUCGACAAUUUAUAUAGAUAUGUGUUUAUUUAGACUUAAAUCUAAAAUUAUAGGAUCCAUAUUCAAUAUCUAAAAUUAAGAAAUUCUAAAUCCAAGGAAAAAAGAAGAAAAAAACAAAAUAAACAAACUGCAGGAAAAGCCGCAGGAAAUGACUUUAGAAAAACCGCAGUAAAAUCCGCAGCAAUACCUGUGGAAUUUCCUAAGGAAACGUUCAAAUAAUAUUCGUCAAUGGUUCUGCAGAUAGAAGUUACCUGCAGAUUUUCCUGCGGUAUCUGGAUUCGCAGGAAAUUUGAUAUGACUAACGUUAUCCGCAGCAAAAUCCUCAGGUAUUCCUGCGGAUUUGUUACCGCAUGAAAAGCCGCAGGAAACUGGACAAAAUAAUAGCAUGAUUUCAUAAUUGCUUCAGGGAAUACUGGGAAGAAUAAAUUAUUACAAUAAAUAUACAUAGCUUUCUAACUUAUUUUAACUUUUAAGUAAGAUACAAAUCAAACAAAUCAAAUCUCCACAACUUUGCAUUCAUAGAAGUAUAUAUAUGCUUUACAAUAACAAUAUAUAUGCUUAAACAUAUGACAGGACUAUGCAAAUUGAAGGAUUUGGUAGAGCUAGAUAUCAGCUAUAACAUGUUUAGCGCGCAACUUCCCGAGUGUUUAAGCAACUUAACAAACCUGAAUGUUCUUGAACUUAGCUAUAAUUUGUUCAGUGGAAAUUUUCCAUCCUUCAUUAGUAAUCUCACAUCACUGGCAUACUUAUCCCUCUUUGGAAAUUACAUGCAAGGAUCAUUUUCAUUGAGCACUUUGGCUAAUCACUCCAAUCUCCAGCAUCUAUAUAUUUCAUCACAAAGCAUUGGUGCAAACAUUGAAACUGAAAAGACAAAGUGGUUACCCAAAUUUCAAUUGAAGACACUCAUUCUUAGAAAUUGCAACUUAAACAAGGACAAAGGAAGUGUCAUUCCUACUUUUCUUUCAUAUCAAUAUAGUUUGAUAUUGAUGGACCUAUCCAGCAACAAAUUGGUUGGUUUAUUCCCAAGAUGGUUCAUACAUUCUUCUAUGAAAUAUUUGGAUAUAUCAAUCAACAGUUUAAGUGGUUUUCUUCCAAAAGAUAUUGGUAUAUUCCUUCCUAGUGUUACCUAUAUGAAUUUUUCAUCAAAUAACUUUGAAGGAAAUAUACCUUCAUCAAUUGGUAAGAUGAAAAAACUUGAGUCCUUGGACCUCUCUCAUAAUCAUUUCUCAGGUGAGUUACCUAAACAACUGGCCACAGGUUGUGAUAAUUUACAAUACUUGAAGCUCUCCAACAACUUUCUACAUGGGAACAUUCCUAAAUUUUAUAAUUCCAUGAAUGUGGAAUUUUUAUUUCUCAAUAAUAACAACUUUAGUGGAACACUUGAAGAUGUAUUGGGAAAUAAUACAGGAUUAGUAUUUCUAUCCAUAUCCAAUAAUUCAUUCUCAGGAACAAUUCCUAGCUCAAUUGGGACAUUUUCUUACAUCUGGGUCCUUCUUAUGUCUCAAAAUAUAUUAGAAGGUGAGAUCCCUAUUGAGAUUUCCAACAUGUCAAGUCUUAAAAUUCUGGAUCUUUCUCAAAACAAGUUAAUUGGAUCAAUCCCAAAGUUAAGUGGUUUGACAGUUCUUAGGUUCUUGUAUUUGCAAAAGAAUAAUCUCUCUGGCUCGAUACCAUCUGAACUCUCUGAAGGCUCACAACUACAACUUCUAGAUUUGAGGGAGAACAAAUUUUCAGGUAAAAUUCCCCACUGGAUGGAUAAGCUAUCAGAGUUACGUGUUCUUUUACUAGGAGGGAACAAAUUGGAAGGAGAUAUUCCAAUUCAAUUGUGUCGGUUAAAAAAGAUAGACAUAAUGGACCUAUCACGGAACAUGCUCAAUGCUUCAAUACCAUCUUGCUUCCGAAAUAUGUCAUUUGGAAUGAGGCAAUACGUUGAUGAUGAUGACGGUCCUACUUUUGAAUUCUCAAUAUCCGGAUAUCUUCCAACGAUUUCCUUCAAUGCUAGUUUGUCGAUUCAACCUCCAUGGAGUUUGUUUAAUGAAGAUCUACAAUUUGAGGUGGAGUUCAGAACAAAGCACUAUGAAUACUUUUACAAGGGUAAAGUUCUAGAGAAUAUGACUGGAUUGGAUUUAUCAUGGAAUAACCUAACAGGUCUCAUCCCUUCUCAAAUUGGUCACCUUCAACAAGUUAGAGCCUUGAACCUAUCACAUAAUCACUUGUCUGGUCCUAUUCCAAUUACUUUUUCAAAUCUUACCCAAAUAGAGAGCCUUGACUUAUCAUACAAUAACUUGAGUGGUAAGAUACCAAAUGAACUAACCCAGUUGAACUUUUUAUCAACCUUCAAUGUAUCAUACAACAACUUUUCUGGAACACCACCUAGUACAGGACAGUUUGGAGGUUUUGAUGAGGACAGUUACAGAGGUAAUCCCGGUCUUUGUGGACCACUCCUCUAUCAAAAGUGUGAACGUGUCGAGUCUUCACCUUCAUCACAAUCCAAUGACAAUGGAGAAAAGGAAACCAUGGUGGACAUGAUAACAUUUUAUUGGAGUUUCA
This 31756-nucleotide long non-coding RNA is filed under the name Medicago truncatula (barrel medic). Its description in RNAcentral is "long non-coding RNA (MTRU_LNC001462)". The record is from RNAcentral. Lineage: Eukaryota; Viridiplantae; Streptophyta; Magnoliopsida; Fabales; Fabaceae.